Molecule: non-coding RNA, 6021 nt
Organism: Cyanistes caeruleus (blue tit)
Lineage: Eukaryota; Metazoa; Chordata; Aves; Passeriformes; Paridae
Source: RefSeq, a predicted model, not a curated record
CCUCCUGGAGGAUAAAGAGGACAAGUAAGACACACAAUCACCUGUCUAUUGAGCAUGCCAUGUAGUUGAAUAGUUGAGGUGCACCCCUGCAAAACACCUCAGCAAAUUACCUGGUUAUGCAAUGAUACAAAGUCCUGGUUUUAAAGACAAACAAGAAGUUAAAACCCACAUGAAAAUAUGCAGAAACCAUGUGACUUCCAGUGUUUGUGAAUCUGAGCUUUAAUCUUCCUAGCUAUGUCUAAAUCAAGUGCCCUAAGCAGCAAGCUGUAUCCCAAGCCCUAUAGGGAAGAGAUUUGACUCCACGAGUUUAUAUUGCUCUCCCUGAGCUUCCUGUGGGGGAAACACAGUCAUGUUGGUAGCAGAGUGUCUGCUCCAGACAGGCUGAACUGAAUGACCCAGAGAUCCAGGGGCCAAGUUCAUUUCAGUGUUUCCAUUGCUCCAUCUCAAACCUAUGAAACAAGGAUCAUGGUCUCUCCUUGCUCACAGGAGUGCUCUGACAAUCAGUACUUCAAAGUGCACUGGGCACUUGGGUUUGGUGGUAGCUGUGAGUCAGGUGCAGUAACAUGAGCUAAUGUAGCAUCACCCCGCAGAAAUCCAUUCUCUCUAGUCUGAGUGGGUGAUAUUUGUUUUUGGAGAGGUGAGUAACUACCACUGAACUUUAUCACAAUAAUAACUGUGAUGAAAGGCUUGUGACUGUGCUGGUAAAUUCUCCCUAAUGUUUCUGCUGUCUGAUAGAACAAUAGUACACAAGUCCCUGGCAAUUCUCCAUGAAGGAUUCAAAACCAACAGACAAAGCAGCUCUAUUCUUUUUCAUUCCAGCAGGGAUGGAUUGUAAGUUCAGUAGCUUGUUCUAGUUAAAGACCUUUUCUUUGACCGACAGAUACUUCACUGUUGACUGAAAAUGACCACUUCUGGGGCUGAUAAGGAGCCCAGUCCCUCACAGGAAACACUCCUGUCAUAUCAUAUAUGACAAUAUAUCAUAUCAUAUCUUUUACCAAACCACAGCCUUCUGAACUUAACAGAAAAUCAAAAACUGCAAGAAAAAAAAGCAUCACAGCAGCGAGAUAUUGAAUAAUGAGUAUAUUGGCUGAACUCGGGGGUGGGAAAGGAGGAUAAUUUGCACCUAUUCAGGAUGUAAAUCACUGCUCCUUCACAGAAGAACCUCUUUCAAUAGUAGCAUUUUUCUCUCUCCCCAGCUCCAGGACUGGAAUUGCAUAUAUCACCCAACUUGCUCUCCCUACCUUGGAGCUGUCACGCAAAGGUGAAUAACCAGUAGUGUGAUUCAAGGAUACCAAAUGAGAAAUAGUCACUCUGACUGCUUAUGGCAUUGAAUGCUUAUGGAAGGAGGGUAGGCAGUAAACAGUGCUUCAGAGACCCUGGCACUUCAGCAUGAAGGUCUGUUCUACAGUGUAUCCAUGAGCAGGUGGAAAAUUGUGUUAUUGCAAGGCUGUUCGAGCACUUACCCAGAGCUUAUAACCUUUUCAUUUCAAAAGUUUGCCAUCAUUAAGAAAAAGAAGGCUGGUCCUCUGCUUUUUCAAUUUUAUUUAUUUGCAGUUUGCAGUAUCUCUGUGCAAACUCUGCUUGUCCUAGUGAUUAUAAGUAUGUAAAGUAUUUUAAAGAUGAACCCACUGAGACCUAAGUUCUGGAUAGCCUUAUUAGGCAAGGCUUCUCUUGCAUGACUUAAUAACACUACCAGGUCCCCCAGUAACACAGGGAGAUGCCUUCUUCACAGUGUUUUUCAUUUUACUGAGUUUGAAGGAUAAAAUGCAUGCCCAGGACAUGAGAGGUGAUUAAAAAGGGUAACAGAUUUUCAGCAGCUGUGUUGCCAUAUGUACUUCAUUCAUUUUUAAAAAAUUUAAUUUCUGUUGCUCCUGAGAGAUCUGUGGGAAGAAUAAAAAGUACUGAGCUCAAUGCAAGCUUGGAGAGUCCUGACUUCCACUGUGCCCUGGUGGAUCACAGCUUUAUCACAUGGGGCUGAGCAAUUCAUCUCCAAUGCCACAGCCUUCCUUUAGAGCUUACGCUGUAGCAACUUGAGUGGGAAGCCAUCUGAAAUUAGGGACAGGGAUGUUUAAAUCAAAUUCUUUUAGGUAUUCAGCACCCAACCCUUAACUCUAAGGAGCCACUUAUAUCCCAGUGGGAUUUAGAGCCCUGCUUUUCCCACCCAGACAGUUGUCUGUGCCAUUUCUUUCCCACAAAAGCCAGAGGAAAACAAGUCCAAUCCCCAUGUUAGUUUUUUAUUUAGGACUGCAGCAGAUUAGAUUUACCCUGGGUACAAGAGUUACAGCAUCCACCUGGGGUAUGAGUGAUACAUGUUGUUUCCCUCUCUGCUUGAAGAGAUUUGAAUGUCCUUCUCCCUAACAAAUCUCUGGAUUAGUUUGUUACUGUUUUCCCAACAUGGAGCUAUUUGCUGGUUGCAAAAACAAAACAAAAGAAAACAAAAAAAAAGUGUUUAUGAAGGGGGUUUUUAACCUUUAUCAGAAAAACUUUUUUCAAAGCCUAAACAAUUGAUUAGGAGAAUAGCACUGUCAUUCUAUACCCAGUUGUUACUAUACAUGAUAUUAUGCAUUUGCACAAACACAGCACUAGAGACACCCAAGCUGUAGCUGUUGGGACCAUUUAAGUACCAUCAGGAGCAAGGAAAGCCAGGGACCUUACAGUCCCACUUCCAGCUCUGGAGAUGCCACAGCUCCAUAACCACCAUGGGAUUUUUAACAAUAAAAUCCCCCAGGAGCCAAAGGAACUUUGCAGUCUGGUAUGUGCCUGCACACUGAGCACUGCCAGGUGUUACAAGCAAGACCUGACCCCAUCAGAGCUCUUCUACCUGACCAGAUACUGCCUGAAAGACCUCAGGGGGGUGAGAUCUCUGCCCCUUGAAAGUGCCAAUAGUGUUUACAGUUAAAUGAAACCCUGGAGAUAAGACCCACAUGUCUGUGGUAAGAGGAUACUUUUGCCAUGAGACUGCCCAAGUGGGCUUGUGUCCUUUCAGCCCACUGAGCCACUAAACUGGUUCCACUCAAAAUGAAGCAGAGGGGCAGAAAGGCUUCCUCUGUGCUGCUGAGGGGAGCUUGGGAAUCAGCCCAGGUUCUGGAAGUCCAUUGUCCAUGCUGCUUGUGGGUUAGCACACUCUGUGGUAGAUCACACCAAAAAGCUUUCUCCCAGACAAACCUGUUCCACUGGGGCUGAUGCCACACACUGCCAUCAUGAGCCAUGUGGUGAUAUCUGGCUUCAGGAGUAAUUUAAUCCCCCAUCUGAUUUUCUUUAGCAUUAUGGAUGUAAUUAAAAAAAUCUGUCUCCAAACCACCAUAAUCUUAUGACAAAACCACAAUUUGACAUUUUAGACAAUCUUCCAGCAUCCUGUUACAUAUAAAGGACUUGGGGGAAUAGUCACAAAGAAAAACAAAUUAAUACACUUUGAUAAAUAACCCUUUUUAGAAUUAUAAUUCAAAAGGUGAGAUGAAGAACUGACCUUAAGUGACCCUUAAGUAGUGGAUAUGUCUUCCUUUGACUUAGGGGUUUGGUGAACUACUGCACAACUUACCUUGGAUACCCUUGGGUGGGGCUGCAGGGCCAGUCUUCAUUCUCAAGGUCAUGUUCAGUUCAUACCCUCUGACAUAUCUACCAUGGACACUCACCCACUGACAGUCUUCAACCUGUUCACUAGCUUAGUCACUGAUAAAAUAGUCCAAAUGACUUUUCAAACAUCUCUAUCAUUAUUUUAAUCAGACUAUGCUUAAAACACAUUCAUUUCAAACUGGGCAGGAUCUCACUUGCAUAAAUCCCAGACUAUUUAUGUGUUUAUAGAUUUUAAAACCAAAAUUAAAGAGCAGCUGGAAGCCACUGGACAUCAACUGGAGUGGCAGAAUCUGCUGCCAUUGAAGAUAUUAACUUUAUUUUUCUAAAGAGAUGUGAAGUUAGGUGAUACAUAAUACAGAGACACAAAUCCAUCUGUCAUUGAUUAAGGCAUAGGGAAAAGGUUCAUAAACUAGGAUGAGAAACAGAAAAGAAAUUAAUGACAAGAGGAAAAUAUUCUUUUGAUGGUUUUCUUUCAGAUGUUCACACCCUGAGUAUUUUAGAAUUAUCCAUUGUAAACUAAUUCUAUUUCCUGCGAUUUGGACAAGUACUUUCCAUAGAUGUUUUUCAACAACAUAAGUUUAUGACUAUUGUCUUAUGAUGUCAUAAUGAAAAGGCUUAGGUAUUAGCUUUAAACAAUUUUUGUUAAACAAGAAUUAUAUAUUUUUCUCAUUUUUAAUUACCCUUUAUGAAUUUAGUGAUUUUUUUUGUGCUUUACAAAUUGAUGGCAUUAAAUUUUCUUGACUAAGCUUUACAGUAAGCAACAUAUAAAUGGGGUUAAUACUUCUGAAAUUAUUUUCCUUUUUCCAUUUUUCAUUUUUGUAAAGCUUUUAUUUCUACUCCAUCAGGGCUAGAAUGUAUUUCAUACUACCAGUUUCACACCAAAGCAAUCAGACAUGGGGAAAACACUUUAGAAAAUCUAGCCUAUUCAAUGCCUUACAUGCUCAACUUUCUGUACAAUGCAUUUUGAAGUGCUUUGUCCUCACCACUUUUAAAUGCUUAUUGUCAGCAUUGACUCAGCUUUAACAAUGAGGGAAAUGAGAGAGAGGCUGGCUUCAAACAGUGUAUUUAAUUUACUCUCUGAUGUGAUUUAUUCUUUUAAUUUUGCUACUCUUUUCCAACAUAUGGUGUAAAAACUAUUUAAAAGACUAUCUGGUUUAAUUAAAUUUCAAGGACACAGAUGAUUAAUUUUAGGUAUAGGAUAGAGAACAUCAGAGAAAUUUUCUUUUUGGUAUUCAUAAGUAUAAAGUUAGAAACCUGGAAUCAAUUGAGACUUGAAUGCAACAUGGAAUCAUUAGGGAAUGGACACCAAAAUAUCUUUGGAGAUUUCAUUCUAAAAUCACAUUUAUGACUUUGAGACACCUCCCAUCUCUCAGUACUUUACAUAAUUCAUGGUGUGGUUUUGCAGACAGUCAUGCUUACAUGGUUUCAAUUCUCAGGAGUCACUGAGUGUGUGGACGAAGAUAGUUCAGCUGAGAAGCAUAUUUGGACUUUCAAAUCCCCUUUGGUUCCUCACAAAGUCUCUUACAAAAUUCAAUUCAAUUAAAUUCAAUUGUGAAGAGAUGAGAGGUAAGGUCCUUUCAUAGAUUAACUGUUUAAAAGGCAGUAAUGGAGUUUAGGAGUAAAAGAUCGAUUUCAUAACUGGGGGAUUGCUGGAGGGGAUCUCUAAGAAUCUGUGUGAGAGCCACUCAGAAGGAACUGACUUAUAAAUAAGCUGGGACAAAGGUUCCCAAGGGAAGGCACACAGGUGAAACAAGAUAUUCAAAGCAGAAAAAGCUAAGCCAGGCUUUCCACAAGGAUUCUAAGAGGUGAGUGACUAAGUAACAAAAUAGCAGUAAAUGAGAUACAGGGUUGAUAAGUGCGAGGUAAAUCAUUGCAGAAGAUAAACCUAAUUACACAUGGAUGAUAAUGGGCUCAAAAUGUUUUUUGGUUUAUUUUUUUUCUCAUUUGUGAGUUUGGGAAAUUACCACAUAUAUGAUUCUGACAUUAGUCCUCUGCUAAGCAGCAGUCAGGAAAUGGGCAAACAAAAUAGAAAAUGCUUCUGCCAUCUACUCACAGUGAGAUCAGAUUUUGGACACAAGAGGUAUUUCUGGUCACUCAGUCCUAGUGAAGACAUAGCAGAAGUAGAUAAAAUACAAAGAGGGGCAGCAAGGAUAAUAAAGACCUUUUUUUGCAUAAGGAAGAAAAUUUCAUCUUAGAAAAGCUGUGUUUGGAAGGUGAUAUCAAAGGAUGCUAACAAACUUCUCUGAUUUCUUUCAGCCAGAAAAGCUCUGGAUCUCAGCUUUCCUACGCCAGAUGUGAUUCCCACUUCUUCUUAAUCCAGACUUCAGAGGAACAGAAGGUGAUGUAAAAUUGUCACCUUCUCACCUCAAUCCUGCCCAAAGUAUAGAUAUUUCCCAGUUUUUGGUUUAAAUAUAGUUUUUCCUAAAUAUUCACCAAGAUGUUUAAUCA